Molecule: ribosomal RNA, 513 nt
Filed under: uncultured bacterium
Lineage: Bacteria
Description: bacterial SSU rRNA
Rfam family: Bacterial small subunit ribosomal RNA
Source: RNAcentral
CUCCUACGGGAGGCAGCAGUGGGGAAUUUUGCGCAAUGGGGGAAACCCUGACGCAGCAACGCCGCGUGGAGGAUGAAGUAUCUUGGUACGUAAACUCCUUUCGAUAGGGAAGAUAAUGACGGUACCUAUAGAAGAAGCCCCGGCUAACUUCGUGCCAGCAGCCGCGGUAAUACGAGGGGGGCAAGCGUUGUUCGGAUUUAUUGGGCGUAAAGGGUGCGUAGGCGGUUUGGCAAGUCUUGUGUGAAAUCUUUGGGCUCAACCCAAAGCCUGCACGGGAAACUGCCGGGCUUGAGCAUGGGAGAGGUGAGUGGAAUUUCCGGUGUAGCGGUGAAAUGCGUAGAUAUCGGAAGGAACACCUGUGGCGAAAGCGGCUCACUGGACCAUAACUGACGCUGAGGCACGAAAGCUAGGGGAGCAAACAGGAUUAGAUACCCUGGUAGUCCUAGCCCUAAACGAUGAUUGCUUGGUGUGACAGGUACCCAAUCCUGUCGUGCCGAAGCUAACGCGAUAAGC